This 646-nucleotide long non-coding RNA is filed under the name Mus pahari (shrew mouse). RNAcentral's name for it is "predicted gene, 37328 (MGP_PahariEiJ_G0033048.1)". Lineage: Eukaryota; Metazoa; Chordata; Mammalia; Rodentia; Muridae. The record is from RNAcentral.
GUUAUACUAUUCAGUAAAAUCUUACUUGCAUUUCCCAGAGUGAGUACCGACAAUAGGAACUUUGUUUAACUGCUCCCUUUUCACCAUGUUCUUCAUCCAAUGUGUUGAUGGGCUGAGAGGCUUGAAGUCUGGUGUUUCUAGCACGUAGUUUGAGAUGUUAAUUCUGACACAUUUUGGAUCCAGGGGCAAGAAUAGUUUUUAGAAAGUGUAGUAUUUAUAGUUCUUUGUUACUUUAGAGAAAAAUCGAGCCAUAAAUAAGAACAAAAAUACAAAUAAAAUUUCACAGUCACUAUAGUGACCUGACACUAAAAGCAUAUAUAUACAAACAUUUUCACUAUUCAUCCUGGAAAUCGCUUAUGCUCCAAAACACUGAGUGAAAACACUAAAGUUCUUCAGCUCCUCCUAAUAUCAGAUGCUGGAUGCUGAAAGGCUGGCAACUUCAGUGUUACGGCCCAGUGUCUAGCUUGUUGAAGCUUAGGGUGUUCUAAAUAGAAACUAAGGACUUCAGUUAACACCUUGUUUGUGAUUAUUCAUUGGGAAGAUGUAUACUACACUCAUUUUAUAAUUACUUCUGGAUCCUCUCAUUGCAAUAUUUUGUAGUCUAGAGACAUUAAUAAAUGAGUAUAGCUUCUUUUGUGAACCUAAA